Long non-coding RNA from Equus caballus (horse), 1201 nucleotides. RefSeq lists it as uncharacterized. The record is from RefSeq and is a predicted model, not a curated record. Lineage: Eukaryota; Metazoa; Chordata; Mammalia; Perissodactyla; Equidae.
CCGUCGUUUACUUUGAAUACGUCCCUACAGUUAGGGGAAAAGAUUCUACGUGGAAAACCAUGUUUUAAAAUAAAAUUUUUUCAAAUCCUAAGUAUAAGCUUGCGUAAAUUUGAAAAAUGUGUCUGCCAGAGAACACUCCAAAAAUCGUCCCUGUUCACCAAGGUUGCUGCUCUGAAAUUCAUUUACAAUUUCAUCGUCACUUCAGGUUUUACCUAAGAGUCUUUUAACAUAUUUGGUCCUUGAAAAAGAUAUUUGGAAGUAAUUUGGUUACAAUGAAGUACUCAAGUAAAAUUACUGGGGUUUGAUUCCACUAGUGCUUGGAGAAGUAUUCAGCUUAAUCAACACUACAGUAAACUUAGCUUAAAAACAGAAAGGUUUAUUGAGCACCUGCUGUGUACAUUGUACUACAAUAAACAGGUAAUAAUAUUUCACCCAAUUUGCGCUGUCAUCAGGCCUAAUGAAAAAUAUUGAAGUACAAUGCUGUUUUAAGUAUUUCAUGUUUCUACAAGUUACAAACUUUUUUUUUAAUUAAAAAGAAGUUAAAUCAUUAGGAGAACUCAAGGGAAUCCUUUGUAAUAAUAAUUACCCACUAACUUAUUUGUUACAUAAAAUUAGAUUUGAAAGAUCAGAUUUUCUUAAGGCAGAUCUAUAUUCAUAUAGAAAUUUUCUUAAACUAGUAGUGCCUCUGAUUGAUUGAAUAUAUAUGUUGUACGUUUUUAUAAAUGACCUUCGAAAUGACGAAAAUGCUGCCAGAUAGCUAUUUUGUCGCCUAUUCUUCCAGAUUUGGUAAUUGAAUGAUUUUGGUUAAAACUUAAUCAGAAAUGUAGUUGCACAUCUUGUUACUUGGUAUAUCCAAAUAAAAUAAUGAUUGUCAUUGGUUGCAUAUUUUAUUUUCUUAAAUAUAACUUCUUACGACUCUAGUUUCCCACAACAUUUGGGAAGAUGUGCAAGGUAUACUCCAUUUAGGCAAAAAUAACUCCCAGCGAAGAGUCAUUGUCACAAGCAGUAAUUUUGUGCUGCAACUACAAGCUUUAUUGGAAUAUUAUUGACAUAUAACAUAGGAAAGUACUGCCACUUACAAUCUUCAUCAGCAAGGAAGAAGGACUCAGGGGUUCUUUCUGGGAGUGGAGGUGGAGGGGAAGAAGAACGAUCUUGAUGCAGAUCUGUGGUAAGAAGAGUAUAUAACAAAGCAAAAGAAAAU